AAAAAAACAAUCACAACUUUGGGUUGUGACAAUAUUAUGUAAUAUAUUCUGUGCUUCCCUGCACAGUGAAUGGAAUACACACUGUGAGAGAGCACAGGUUUCUUUUCUGAUGGAGAAGAAUCAGAAUAGACUAACAAAAAUAAAAAAAAAAAAAAAAAAAAAGGAUUUUGGGGAAGGAAUAAAUUGAAAAGGAGUGAAUGUAAUAAAAGGGUAUUAGGAAACCAAAAGAUAUUUGAUCUCACUCGCUAGGAACAGACUAGCAAGUAGGAAGUGAUAGCCUCUCUCUGACACUGCUGAGCUGCAGGAAGACACAGCUCAGUAAUUGACUUGAAGGCACAGAGAAAGCUCAGUUCAAACAAUGCUUUUAUGCUGUUUUUCCAUCUUUCCCCCAGAGCACUGGGAUUGGAAGGGACCUCAGGAAAGGACCACAGUCAUUGGCCAGCUACACAGUCAAUAUCAGAACAGUUUUUACUCACUCUUCCCCUCCCUCUCCUUAGUUUGUGUUUAACUGCAAGCAAGCCCAGCUUUGAAACGUGAAACAUUUUCAAACUUUUGAAAUGUUUUGAGUGCCCUCAUUUCAUUUCAAGGCUGUUUUGAAGCCUUUUCUUUCAUUUUGAUUUCACUGUUUCUAGUCCAAAAUGAGUCAAAACAGCGUCAGACUGAAACAUCUGUUUAAUUUCACACAGCCCUAGUUCUAAACUGCAGAGCACAGUGGCAGCAGCAGCAAAUGUGCCAUUCCAGAAACACGAUGAAUAGUGGCAGACACUGCAUGCCAGACCUGCCCACCAGGAUAUGCAGCAGCUCAGGUGAUAUAUAGAAGACUUUCAAGAGAAGAGAUUGAGAAGAAUGAACAACUGAAAGAAGAACGGAGUAAAUAAUAGUAGAAUAGAAAUAGAUAGAACAGAAAUAGAAUAGAAAGUAGAAUAGAAUUAGAUAUACAUACAAUAGUUAGUUAAUGUUUAUUUAGUGUAUAAGUAAAUAGAUAGUGAGUGUGAAAUAUAUAUAUAUAUAUAUA
This is a long non-coding RNA of Alligator mississippiensis (American alligator), 1015 nucleotides long. RefSeq lists it as uncharacterized. Lineage: Eukaryota; Metazoa; Chordata; Crocodylia; Alligatoridae. The record is from RefSeq and is a predicted model, not a curated record. The transcript has 3 exons.